This is a long non-coding RNA of Salvelinus namaycush (lake trout), 1155 nucleotides long. RefSeq lists it as uncharacterized. The transcript has 4 exons. Lineage: Eukaryota; Metazoa; Chordata; Actinopteri; Salmoniformes; Salmonidae. The record is from RefSeq and is a predicted model, not a curated record.
UGCCCCUCCCACUUCGUUCCCCUUCAUGGAAUGUAGCUCAGUUGUUUCUUCGUCCUAAACCAAAGCGAUCAUGGCCGUUUGAGACUGAAAAGCCCUAUACGGAUUGACCAUGCAAAGCAUGCUUCCAGCUAGGUUGAAGACGAAGUGCAUAGUUGGGUGCCAGACUGAUCCCGUGGUCAUGAACGGAUGCUGGAACCUACCAGAAGGAGCAAAGCUUGUCAGGCAAGACCUCAGAAUAAGUGUGUUUCACAACAAGUACUCUUGUGACACCUCAUCCAUUGUUGCCAGUCUCCCUCAACUCUAAUGAAAAGGACACGCCAUCAUGAGGCCUCUGACCGUGACCUGAGUUACUGCCCUGACGACAGAGAUGGCUUCAUCGACAGGCACUUCCAGUCAACACCACCUAAUAAGAUUGGCUGCUGCAGUUGUUUGAGAGAUGUCCAGUUUGCAGCUGAACAUGCAGCAUAGAAAAGACAAGCAAGGGGUCCCUCAUCAGCAUCAUGCAGACAUGCCCUCGCAGUGAGCAUUCCUAUGAAUGGAACAGUCAGCCACAUGUUGUGGCUGACAAGUAUCUAACCAGCAACCUUCACCUGUCCGCGGCAAAAGCUUUCACAGGAUCAUCAUUUGUACAAAUACAAACAUUUCAUUAUUUUGAUACAUUUGAUAACCCAAUUGUGAAACAAUUAUGUAAACUGACAGUUGUUGCUUAUUUUCUACUUCUUAGUUGCGUAUAAUGUCCAGGGCAUAACCUAGCCCGGUUGAACCAGCCUGAUCCCUGUGUUCACCAUUCUAUUUCACUUCAAAUUUUAUAUCUAAAGUGAAAUAGAAAAGGUGAAUGGAGCAAUCAGGAUAUUUCCACCAAGUUAAUCAUAACCACCAUUGAUAAUGUAAUCAGUGCUGUGUGUGUGACCGACCAGUAUCUGUGAGGGGCCAGGAGCUGAUCUACGCUACUAUGUCCAUCAAUGGGGCUCUGGCAAAGACCUCACCUCCAGCCUCACAUCUUGCCUGCUCACCAACAGUCUAUGAUGGGGAGAACAGAAUUAGGUUUAGGCUGACCUGUUCAAACUUCAACAUAGGUGAGAUCUGACACACAUCCCCCUCUUCAAAAGGGGGAGACACUCUAGAUCCAAACUGCUACAGACAUAGCUAUUCUAC